This 492-nucleotide ribosomal RNA is filed under the name uncultured bacterium. RNAcentral's name for it is "partial 16S ribosomal RNA". It matches the Rfam family "Bacterial small subunit ribosomal RNA", at positions 29 to 507 of the family's 1533-position model. The record is from RNAcentral.
AGUGAACGCUGGCGGUAGGCCUAACACAUGCAAGUCGAACGGCAGCACAGUAAGAGCUUGCUCUUACGGGUGGCGAGUGGCGGACGGGUGAGGAAUACAUCGGAAUCUACUUUUUCGUGGGGGAUAACGUAGGGAAACUUACGCUAAUACCGCAUACGACCUACGGGUGAAAGCAGGGGAUCUUCGGACCUUGCGCGAUUGAAUGAGCCGAUGUCGGAUUAGCUAGUUGGCGGGGUAAAGGCCCACCAAGGCGACGAUCCGUAGCUGGUCUGAGAGGAUGAUCGGCCACACGGGAACUUAGACACGGUCCAGACGCCUACGGGAGGCAGCAGUGGGGAAUAUUGGACAAUGGGCGCAAGCCUGAUCCAGCCAUACCGCGUGGGUGAAGAAGGCCUUCGGGUUGUAAAGCCCUUUUGUUGGGAAAGAAAAGCAGCAGGUUAAUACCCCGCUGUUCUGACGGUACCCAAAGAAUAAGCACCGGCUAACUUCGUG